Molecule: ribosomal RNA, 136 nt
Filed under: Enterobacter cloacae
Lineage: Bacteria; Pseudomonadati; Pseudomonadota; Gammaproteobacteria; Enterobacterales; Enterobacteriaceae
Also listed under: 11 other names
Description: partial 16S ribosomal RNA
Rfam family: Bacterial small subunit ribosomal RNA
Source: RNAcentral
AAAUUGAAGAGUUUGAUCAUGGCUCAGAUUGAACGCUGGCGGCAGGCCUAACACAUGCAAGUCGAACGGUAGCACAGAGAGCUUGCUCUCGGGUGACGAGUGGCGGACGGGUGAGUAAUGUCUGGGAAACUGCCUG